Molecule: long non-coding RNA, 1188 nt
Organism: Hevea brasiliensis (rubber tree)
Lineage: Eukaryota; Viridiplantae; Streptophyta; Magnoliopsida; Malpighiales; Euphorbiaceae
Exons: 3
Source: RefSeq, a predicted model, not a curated record
AAAAUUUUAUUUAGAACCCAAUUGAAAUGAAUUUUGAACCUAUUAAAUUAUACCAAAAAAGUAUUAUAUAUUUUUUUUUAUAUAUAUAAAACAAAACAAAACAAAAUAAACUUCAUCAGUUGCGUCCUCCCCCCCCUCCCCCCUUCACGCAUCCUUUCCCGAUCUCCCCCUCCCUAUUCUUUUCUUUCCCUUCUUCUCUGGCAAGGGCCUAAGCCGGUUAACAGGACAACCACCCAUUGGCCACCGGAGCUACUCCAGACGGCGAGAGGUGGCAGCAGCAUAAGUUGAAGAGAGAGAGAGAGAGAGAGAGAGCGCUUAAGUGAGUUGGAGGCCAACUCUGGCCACUACACUGUCGGAUGGAGGUGGAGGAAGCCGGUGAACCUUCCUGGAUGAUAAGGACCCCAGUUCCCUGCCAAGCAAGCCGAAAUCCAUGGAGCUUUCCGGUAAGAUCAGGAGGAGAGAGAAAAUGUUGGGUAGCGAGCAUUCUGACCAUUUUCUCGGCUAUUUGACUGUCGGAUCGGAAAUCCGAGACCACCAAUGGACUCAGGACGGUGAAAUCUUUGAGAUAAGAUUGGUCCCACACCGAUUAGACACAGUUCGAAAAAGACGAUCAUUGAACGGUCCAUAUCGCUUAGUGAGAAUUUCAAGUUUUUUCAACUCUGAAAAAUUAAGAAAUAAUUUUAUGAUAAUUAUUGAAAAUUUUUGGGCAUCAUGUAGGUGUGAUCGGAUCGAUAAUAGCUCAUCGACGCCCGGGACUGAAUUUUCGGCAGACCUGGCUACCUGAUGGCUCAUCCUGAAAUCUAGUCAAUAUUACAGUUGAUUCUAGCAUUUUCAGACACUCUGGACACGUUCCAGGUGUUAGAUUUGACAUAGGUAAUCAGGGUCAACCAGCUUCCUUCACCCAAUCUCUACAGUCGUCUCUGGUGUACUGCUACAGGAGGAGUUCUUUUACCGAAUAACCUGCUUUCUUCCUUGCAAGUUUAACGUCGGUUAUUUAAUUGUUUUAUAUUUUUUUCUAAAUUUGAAAUCUAGAACUCCGCAUGUGUUAGUAGUAAUAUGGAUCUUGUUAGAAAUCAUUUUAAUUUAAAUUCUUGAGAUUAAUAAAUAAAGAUUUGUUUGAUAUUUAAACAAUUUAUUAGUAAUGGUAUCAGGAUUAAGCGGGGCUCCCCUGUCUUCAGUUUUUGAAGA